GAACAGGAUCUGCACACGUGUUCACAUUUUCCAUCUGUUGCCCUCAUUGUUUUCGUUACUAGUAAUAACUUUGGAAAUGUGUGCGUUUCUAUCAAAUGGCGCAGCGGUCAAUGGCACUGCAUCUCAGUGCUACAUCUCCAGGCUGUAUCACAACUGGCUGUGAUUGGGAGUCCCAUAGGGCAGCGCACAAUUGGCCCAGUGUUGUCCGAGUUUGGCCGGUGUAGGCCAUCAUAGAAAACACAAACACUAUUUGCCAAUAUCAUAACUGGAACUGGACAUCUUUCCAGCUGAAGAUUGAGGACAGCUUUUGUAUGCUAACGUUCUCUCCUUAACAGUUUUACUGGAUGAAAACACAGCAAGAAAACACAUAGGCCAAUAUGUAAUAGUCGUCUAUUUUUGUACUUCAUCCACUGUCGGUCUGCCUCCAUCACCACCAGCAUCUUCAAAGGGACCUGGUACUUGGUCAGUGGACAAGGGGUCCUCAGAUUCAGGGUUCUCAAUGGCUACAAGGUUGGGGGGCAGCUCCUCACUGUCACUGUCAGAAUCUGAUUCCUGACUUUCAUACUCAGAC
This 571-nucleotide long non-coding RNA is filed under the name Salmo salar (Atlantic salmon). RNAcentral describes it as "lncRNA (ENSSSAG00000095842.1)". Lineage: Eukaryota; Metazoa; Chordata; Actinopteri; Salmoniformes; Salmonidae. The record is from RNAcentral.